RNAcentral lists this ribosomal RNA (253 nucleotides) under uncultured bacterium. RNAcentral's name for it is "partial 16S ribosomal RNA". It matches the Rfam family "Bacterial small subunit ribosomal RNA", at positions 524 to 776 of the family's 1533-position model. The record is from RNAcentral.
UACGGAGGGUGCAAGCGUUAUCCGGAUUCACUGGGUUUAAAGGGUGCGUAGGCGGGCAGGUAAGUCAGUGGUGAAAUCUCAGAGCCUAACUCUGAAACUGCCGUUGAUACUAUCUGUCUUGAAUAUUGUGGAGGUAAGCGGAAUAUGUCAUGUAGCGGUGAAAUGCUUAGAUAUGACAUAGAACACCUAUUGCGAAGGCAGCUUACUACGCAAUCAUUGACGCUGAGGCACGAAAGCGUGAGGAUCAAACAGG